Molecule: long non-coding RNA, 1768 nt
Filed under: Capra hircus (goat)
Lineage: Eukaryota; Metazoa; Chordata; Mammalia; Artiodactyla; Bovidae
Description: lncRNA (ENSCHIG00010013121.1)
Source: RNAcentral
AUGGUCCAAUCUAGCGUAUCGGGCCAAACUGGGAAAAGGGCUAAGCAAGAAUCAGACUCGCCACCUCUGGUGAGUGCUGAGACAUCCAGCGCAGGAAGCAGGCAUCGAAUGAGUUUCUGCCAGGUGCCAACCCACCCCACGCUGUGGGGGAGAGAGCGGCACGGCCCGCGGGCGGGAGUCAGCAGGCAGCUGCCCCCGGUGGUGGCUGCAAUGGCACUCUGUGCACAGUGGCGCGGGAGCCAUGCAUCCCUCCAGCCCCACCUGGAAGCCCCGCCCUCGCAGGAAGCAGCCACCAUGCUGGGGAGAUGCAGACCUCUCUCCGGCCGGAAUAUCCUCCUCAGAAUCGGCCCCUCUAAGCAGGUAGGGUACGCGUCCGCUCCCCUGGAAGUCCGUGACCUCCAUGCUGGGGGCCGGGGGCACUGGUCGGGAGUGGGAGGCUGUCUCCCAGGGCCCAGCACUAGGCCUCCUGCACAACUGGCGUUCAGUAAAUACCCCUUCAAUGAGUGAAAUCAGGGUGCUUGGCAAACAUGUGGUCCUGAUGCUAAAAUGGUAAGUCCCCAUUGUGUAAAACUGGGGGAAAAUGACUCCUAAGGGAACUGUGUGUGCUCUAUAUAGAGAGAACAUUCAUGCUAAUAAUAGAGGCAGCCCAAAGAGCCAUGUCAGCUGCCACGGUUUCAGCCGUAACUUAGGAGUCACUCGCUAGCCCUUAACGUUCCCAGUGACUGUGAGUCUCAUGAGCAUACUGGACAGUACAGAGCACUGCUGGUGCCCAGGCAGCGCGAGGGAGCUGGAGCUCAAAGCAUUUACUCACCUGGCGCCAGGGCACAUAGCUGGCGAGGGGGCGCCGAAACCAAACUCAGGACCAACCCUCUCUCCUCACGCCGCCUCUGCGCUCGGCACAACCACAUGCUCACUCACAAAAUAAAGACUAAAUAGUAAGUCCGUUCAUUUCAAGUUGGCAUUCAGAAUAAGAAAGGGAAAAAACAUUUUAAAAGGUCUGCACAACAUAAUUCUUAGUCCAGAUUAAAGCAGAUCCACAGCCACGCCAGGCAGCUCCAUGACCUGACUGGUGAUUUCACACCUGUCCCGUCACACAGAGCCUCCUCCGGCCACCCCGCCUCUCACCCCCAACAGAUGAGGCUCGCACAGAGGACAGCGGAGGCUUGANNNNNNNNNNNNNNNNNGGGGGGGGGGGGAGGGGUGAGGGGAGGAAUACGUCAGUUUCCACCCUUCUCGGACCGCAGCGUGACAGUUACAGAAUUCAAGUCCAUUUGUAUCCCCUGCUGAAUCCCCCAUAACUCAGCAGACGAUCAUUACCAUGCCAUAAUGAUAUCACACGGCCAUAAAUACAUAUGCUAAGAGUCGAACAAGACAUUCAUAUUUAAACAGAGCUGGAAAUAAUUUCAACUCUGGCGAUUUUCUAUUGCUCAUUCUAUUACUUUUCGGUGGAUGUUUAAAAUGUUGAAACCAAGAAUGAGGGGGGUGGGUGUGUGUCACAGCUUCUGGUUAAGCAAGGAAAGGAAUUUGGGGAUCAAGUUACAUCUGAUAAAUAUUUUGUUUGAGGAAAAGUUAGGUUAAUAAUAGAUGAGGAGCUCCUUGAUAUGUCAGUUUCAGAGGAAAUCAUUCAUGCUGUUAUAAAUGCAGGCCAAGAUAGCUGCUGCAUAUUUGAAGGACAGUUGCCCCGAAUAAGAAACGUCAUGUACGGCUUUUUCAUAAAACUUAAAAAAAAAAUACAUAUGGCAAACAAAUAACAUAGCUCAAACUUAGA